AACUAAGUUUGUUAUUGGUAUGAGCUUUUGUGUGCAUGCAGGUAUUCUUCAGGUAUCUGAAGAAGUGUGCAUGCACACGAAAGCUCAUACCAAUAACAAACUUAGUUGG
Molecule: microRNA precursor, 109 nt
Filed under: Podarcis lilfordi (Lilford's wall lizard)
Lineage: Eukaryota; Metazoa; Chordata; Lepidosauria; Squamata; Lacertidae
Source: RNAcentral